GGGCCUACGGGAGGCAGCAGUCGGGAAUAUUGCACAAUGGAGGAAACUCUGAUGCAGUGACACCGCGUAUAGGAAGAAGGUUUUCGGAUUGUAAACUAUUUUAGACAGGGAAGAAAAAAGACAGUACCUGUAGAAUAAGCUCCGGCUAACUACGUGCCAGCAGCCGCGGUAAUACGUAGGGAGCAAGCGUUAUCCGGAAUUAUUGGGUGUAAAGGGAGCGUAGACGGCAGUGCAAGUCUGGAGUGAAAGGCGGGGGCUCAACCCCCGGACUGCUCUGGAAACUGUACGGCUGGAGUGCAGGAGAG
This 305-nucleotide ribosomal RNA is filed under the name uncultured bacterium. RNAcentral's name for it is "bacterial SSU rRNA". It matches the Rfam family "Bacterial small subunit ribosomal RNA", at positions 335 to 656 of the family's 1533-position model. The record is from RNAcentral.